AUUCCAGCUCCAAUAGCGUAUAUUAAAGUUGUUGCAGUUAAAAAGCUCGUAGUUGGAUUUGUGGCGUGUGCCAUAGCGUCCAUUUAUUUGGUUCUGCCGUGGCCGUGCCAUCCUUGGGUGGAUCCUGUGUGGCAUUAGGUUGUCGUGCAGGGGAUUCCCAUCGUUUACUGUGAAAAAAUUAGAGUGUUCAAAGCAGGCUUAUGCCGUUGAAUAUAUUAGCAUGGAAUAAUAAGAUAGGUCUUUGGUCCUAUUUUGUUGGUUUGCGGGCCGGAGAAAUGAUUAAAAGGGACAGUUGGGGGUAUUCGUAUUCCAUUGUCAGAGGUGAAAUUCUUGGAUUUCUGGAAGACGAACUACUGCGAAAGCAUUUACCAAGGAUGUUUUCAUUAAUCAAGAACGAAAGUUAGGGGAUCGAAGAUGAUUAGAUACCAUCGUAGUC
RNAcentral lists this ribosomal RNA (436 nucleotides) under Stauroneis heinii. RNAcentral's name for it is "SSU rRNA". It matches the Rfam family "Eukaryotic small subunit ribosomal RNA", at positions 582 to 1025 of the family's 1831-position model. The record is from RNAcentral. Lineage: Eukaryota; Bacillariophyta; Bacillariophyceae; Naviculales; Stauroneidaceae.